This 253-nucleotide ribosomal RNA is filed under the name uncultured bacterium. Its description in RNAcentral is "partial 16S ribosomal RNA". It matches the Rfam family "Bacterial small subunit ribosomal RNA", at positions 524 to 776 of the family's 1533-position model. The record is from RNAcentral.
UACGUAGGGACCGAGCGUUGUCCGGAAUCAUUGGGCGUAAAGAGCGUGUAGGCGGCUACUUAAGUCCUGCGUGAAAUCCUGCGGCUCAACCGCAGGCGGUCGUGGGAAACUGGGUGGCUAGAGUGCGGGAGAGGAGAGUAGAAUUCCUGGUGUAGCGGUGGAAUGCGCAGAUAUCUGGAAGAACACCCGUGGCGAAGGCGGCUCUCUGGAACGCAACUGACGCUGAGACACGAAAGCGUGGGGAGCAAACAGG